Molecule: long non-coding RNA, 836 nt
Organism: Juglans regia (Persian walnut)
Lineage: Eukaryota; Viridiplantae; Streptophyta; Magnoliopsida; Fagales; Juglandaceae
Exons: 2
Source: RefSeq, a predicted model, not a curated record
AGUGUAGUACUAACUUUUCUUGACCUAAAAGUGCUUUCUCCACCUCUUUUGUGUUUUUUCAAGAGAUGACUAGUGUGAGUAGCAGCAAGAUGGUUCACGCGUACAAGGCCUUAUCUCUCAUCCUUUUCAUCUCUCUCUUAAUUUUGGUUGAAUUGGCUCCAAUAUUGGAAGCCAGAUUAACAAACAAUAUCCCAGCCAAUCAAGUAGUACCAAAGACGACAAGAUACCACGGCAAGUUUGGAGACAAUAAAAUCGGUGGCGGCCAACAUCAUUCACUACAAGAAAACAGGCCUUUCUCAACGCCAGUUUUCGUCGCAAUUACCCCCCCAAUUCGCUGCAGUCCCUUGCUCUCGACGAUAAGCAAAACGCCGCACGUUGGUUGAGAUUAAGUGCAUUUUUUUUAUGACAGUCAGCGAGAUGUGAAAAUCGCCGCAACUGGUGUUCCUGUUCCCGCGAAUAGAUUUCGCCGCGAAAACUGAAAUACUCGCCACAAAUGCGUGUCACAACAUGCCAACUUAUCAACGGAAUCAAUUGCUUUCGUCAAUUUAUUGCGACGCAAAAUAUUGAAUAAGUCGACGCAAUUAACUUCGCCUCUCGCCGGCGUCUCAGUAAUCGCCGUAACUACGAUUUAUAGCCGCGAUGGAUGUCGACGUAAAAUCUGCCGCUAUCGCUGGAAAUCUGCUGUCUCGACCAAACUAGAGUCUGUCGUAAUAUGUCUAUUCUGGGAUUUAAUUUCUUCUGGCGGCGUUCCUUCAUCGCCGCAAUAAGCUAUUUCCCAACGAUGUUUGCAUACGACGGAAAUGUGUAUGACCCAACGUCUGACUCUUGCAACGGCA